This 305-nucleotide ribosomal RNA is filed under the name uncultured bacterium. RNAcentral describes it as "partial 16S ribosomal RNA". It matches the Rfam family "Bacterial small subunit ribosomal RNA", at positions 505 to 809 of the family's 1533-position model. The record is from RNAcentral.
ACAGCAGCAGCCGCGGGAAUACGAAGGGGGCUAGCGUUGCUCGGAAUUACUGGGCGUAAAGGGAGCGUAGGCGGAUCGUUAAGUUGGGGGUGAAAGCCCGGGGCUCAACCUCGGAACUGCCUUCAAUACUGGCGAUCUUGAGUAUGAGAGAGGUGUGUGGAACUCCGAGUGUAGAGGUGAAAUUCGUAGAUAUUCGGAAGAACACCAGUGGCGAAGGCGACACACUGGCUCAUUACUGACGCUGAGGCUCGAAAGCGUGGGGAGCAAACAGGAUUAGAUACCCCGGUAGUCCCUGUCUCUUAUAU